Molecule: transfer RNA, 73 nt
Filed under: Danionella translucida
Lineage: Eukaryota; Metazoa; Chordata; Actinopteri; Cypriniformes; Danionidae
Also listed under: 1 other name
Rfam family: tRNA
About the family: Transfer RNA (tRNA) molecules are approximately 80 nucleotides in length. Their secondary structure includes four short double-helical elements and three loops (D, anti-codon, and T loops). Further hydrogen bonds mediate the characteristic L-shaped molecular structure. tRNAs have two regions of fundamental functional importance: the anti-codon, which is responsible for specific mRNA codon recognition, and the 3' end, to which the tRNAs corresponding amino acid is attached (by aminoacyl-tRNA synthetases). tRNAs cope with the degeneracy of the genetic code in two manners: having more than one tRNA (with a specific anti-codon) for a particular amino acid; and 'wobble' base-pairing, i.e. permitting non-standard base-pairing at the 3rd anti-codon position.
Source: Rfam by way of RNAcentral
GCCGAAGUAGCUCAGUUGGUAGAGUGUUAGAAUGAAGAUCUAAAGGUCCCUGGUUCAAUCCUGGGUUUCGGCA